RNAcentral lists this ribosomal RNA (163 nucleotides) under Cherleria sedoides. RNAcentral describes it as "5.8S ribosomal RNA". It matches the Rfam family "5.8S ribosomal RNA". Rfam says of the family: 5.8S ribosomal RNA (5.8S rRNA) is a component of the large subunit of the eukaryotic ribosome. It is transcribed by RNA polymerase I as part of the 45S precursor that also contains 18S and 28S rRNA. The record is from RNAcentral. Lineage: Eukaryota; Viridiplantae; Streptophyta; Magnoliopsida; Caryophyllales; Caryophyllaceae.
UGAACGACUCUCGGCAACGGAUAUCUUGGCUCUCGCAUCGAUGAAGAACGUAGCGAAAUGCGAUACUUGGUGUGAAUUGCAGAAUCCCGUGAACCAUCGAGUCUUUGAACGCAAGUUGCGCCCRAGGCUUUUGGCCGAGGGCACGUCUGCYUGGGCGUCACGC